GUAGGAGGCAAGCGUUGUCCGGAAUUAUUGGGCGUAAAGCGCGCGCAGGCGGUUCUUUAAGUCUGAUGUGAAAGCCCACGGCUCAACCGUGGAGGGUCAUUGGAAACUGGAGAACUUGAGUACAGAAGAGGAAAGCGGAAUUCCACGUGUAGCGGUGAAAUGCGUAGAGAUGUGGAGGAACACCAGUGGCGAAGGCGGCUUUCUGGUCUGUAACUGACGCUGAGGCGCGAAAGCGUGGGGAGCAAACAGGGAUUAGAUACCCUGGUAGUCCACGCCGUAAACGAUGAGUGCUAAGUGUUACGGGGGUUUCCGCCCCCGUUAGUGCUGCAGCUAACGCAUUAAGCACUCCGCCUGGGGAUACGGCCGCAAGGCUG
RNAcentral lists this ribosomal RNA (374 nucleotides) under uncultured organism. Its description in RNAcentral is "partial 16S ribosomal RNA". It matches the Rfam family "Bacterial small subunit ribosomal RNA", at positions 527 to 896 of the family's 1533-position model. The record is from RNAcentral.